ACUUCCUCGCGCGGCGGCCGUUGCGGCCGUUGGGCGUUCCGGGGCGCGGCGGGUAGCGUGCGGCGCCGCUCCCUGAGCGGCGCUAAGCUAUGGGACCAAGAUUUCACAGAACUGCCUUGUGGACUGUGGCAGCUGCAAAAGAGGAGGCUUAUUAGAGCAGUGGUGCAGUAUUGUGGGCUGAAAAGAGGGGCUGCUCAAAGGAGAAGGAGUGGACCUGAUUGCUUCCUCCAGGUGCAGCAGUACAGCUAAAGGACAUAGGGGAAAUGAUGCUAGGGUGCCGUUGUGUCCAGAUUUGGCAGUGGGAAGAAAUGAUGAAUAAUUAGUGCUGUCAUCUGCUCUUCAAACCUCUCUGAAGAAGAGAUAGUGAUCCAGUCCCUCAUCAACUGGCUGGCCACUGUGGGAAACUGUUACCUUGAAAGACCUGCCUUUUCAGUGGGUCUCGCCUGAUACUCCAGCUCUGUGUAGGCAGCCCUGUACACUUCUGUUCUCAUUCUGUGCUGCAUCUUCUGUGAUUAUUCCUGCCUGGACAGCAAUGCAUUGCAAGUGUCAGUAAAGGCAUCUGACCUGUCGUAAGUGAUGAAACUAGAAAAUGAAAUUGAAGAAAAUGACAGCUCUUUACUGACUGCU
Molecule: long non-coding RNA, 627 nt
Organism: Rhea pennata
Lineage: Eukaryota; Metazoa; Chordata; Aves; Rheiformes; Rheidae
Exons: 6
Source: RefSeq, a predicted model, not a curated record